Molecule: non-coding RNA, 26 nt
Filed under: Homo sapiens (human)
Lineage: Eukaryota; Metazoa; Chordata; Mammalia; Primates; Hominidae
Source: RNAcentral
UGUGUUCAUGAAAAUAUUUCUAUCUA